Molecule: microRNA precursor, 81 nt
Filed under: Orchesella cincta
Lineage: Eukaryota; Metazoa; Arthropoda; Collembola; Entomobryomorpha; Orchesellidae
Description: mir-184 microRNA precursor family
Rfam family: mir-184 microRNA precursor family
Source: Rfam by way of RNAcentral
UCUGCCUCAACUCCUUAUCAUUCACCUGUCCGGUGUUGAUUAAAUGGACUGGACGGAGAACUGAUAAGGGCUUGAGCAGAA